CUCUCGGUAGCCAAGUUGGU
Molecule: transfer RNA, 20 nt
Filed under: Saccharomyces cerevisiae (brewer's yeast)
Lineage: Eukaryota; Fungi; Ascomycota; Saccharomycetes; Saccharomycetales; Saccharomycetaceae
Description: partial transfer RNA
Source: RNAcentral